Molecule: long non-coding RNA, 437 nt
Organism: Astatotilapia calliptera (eastern happy)
Lineage: Eukaryota; Metazoa; Chordata; Actinopteri; Cichliformes; Cichlidae
Source: Ensembl
GCUGUGUUUAUCAUAUAAAGUCUCCUUCCAUUUAAAACCCUCAACACGCACCCCACUGAAGAGACAAAUUUGACAAAUGAACAAAGAACAAAAUAUUGCAUGUUAACAUCAAACGGAGACUGACAUUUCCUUCUUUGUGAAGCAGAAAAGAAACACACAAACCACAGGUCUGAAGACUCCCUGCAGUGAAACAGCACCCUAACCUGGAGAUUCAUCUCCCUGAGUUUUUCCAAGAUUUACACUUAUUAAUUUUUAAUGACCUAAACAUUACCCUUUACAGUGGUCUGGACUUUGUAAGAUAAAAAAAUGUGCAAAUGUGUUCUUGAAUAUGAUUGCAUUUGUGUAUAUGUUGAUGUUUUAAUCCAUAGUUACAGUCAUUGUCAUUGUUCUUUUAAAGUGAGCCAACUAUUUUUCUCCUCUUGGUGUCAGUGGGAUGA